GUGUCAGCAGCCGCGGUAAUACGGAGGAUGCAAGCGUUAUCCGGAAUGAUUGGGCGUAAAGCGUCCGCAGGUGGCUGUGUAAGUCUGCUGUUAAAGCGUCUGGCUUAACCAGAUACAAGCAGUGGAAACUACACAGCUAGAGUGCGUUCGGGGCAGAGGGAAUUCCUGGUGUAGCGGUGAAAUGCGUAGAUAUCAGGAAGAACACCGGUGGCGAAAGCGCUCUGCUAGGCCGCAACUGAAACUGAGGGACGAAAGCUAGGGGAGCGAAUGGGAUUAGAUACCCCAGUAGUCCUAGCCGUAAACGAUGGAUACUAGGCGUGGCUUGUAUCGACCCGGGCCGUGCCGGAGCUAACGCGUUAAGUCUCCCGCCUGGGGAGUACGCACGCAAGUGUGAAACUUAAAUGAAUUGGCGGGG
RNAcentral lists this ribosomal RNA (415 nucleotides) under uncultured prokaryote. Its description in RNAcentral is "bacterial SSU rRNA". It matches the Rfam family "Bacterial small subunit ribosomal RNA", at positions 505 to 918 of the family's 1533-position model. The record is from RNAcentral.